This 449-nucleotide ribosomal RNA is filed under the name uncultured bacterium. Its description in RNAcentral is "bacterial SSU rRNA". It matches the Rfam family "Bacterial small subunit ribosomal RNA", at positions 330 to 793 of the family's 1533-position model. The record is from RNAcentral.
CCCAGACUCCUACGGGAGGCAGCAGUGGGGGAUAUUGCACAAUGGGGGGAACCCUGAUGCAGCGACGCCGCGUGGGUGAAGGAGCGUUUCGGCGCGUAAAGCCCUAUCGGCAGGGAAGAAGGAGGACGGUACCUGACUAAGAAGCCCCGGCUAACUACGUGCCAGCAGCCGCGGUAAUACGUAGGGGGCAAGCGUUAUCCGGAUUUACUGGGUGUAAAGGGGGCGCAGACGGCAGCGCAAGCCAGGAGUGAAAGCCCGGGGCCCAACCCCGGGACUGCUCUUGGAACUGCGCGGCUGGAGUGCAGGAGGGGCAGGCGGAAUUCCUGGUGUAGCGGUGAAAUGCGUAGAUAUCAGGAGGAACACCGGUGGCGAAGGCGGCCUGCUGGACUGCGACUGACGUUGAGGCCCGAAAGCGUGGGGAGCAAACAGGAUUAGAUACCCUCGUAUAA